GCGGGAGUGGUGGAAUUGGCAGACACGCAAGGUUUAGGUCCUUGUGCCUUCAGUGGCGUAGGGGUUCAAGUCCCCUCUCCCGCA
Molecule: transfer RNA, 84 nt
Filed under: Agrococcus baldri
Lineage: Bacteria; Bacillati; Actinomycetota; Actinomycetes; Micrococcales; Microbacteriaceae
Description: tRNA_Leu_TAG
Rfam family: tRNA
About the family: Transfer RNA (tRNA) molecules are approximately 80 nucleotides in length. Their secondary structure includes four short double-helical elements and three loops (D, anti-codon, and T loops). Further hydrogen bonds mediate the characteristic L-shaped molecular structure. tRNAs have two regions of fundamental functional importance: the anti-codon, which is responsible for specific mRNA codon recognition, and the 3' end, to which the tRNAs corresponding amino acid is attached (by aminoacyl-tRNA synthetases). tRNAs cope with the degeneracy of the genetic code in two manners: having more than one tRNA (with a specific anti-codon) for a particular amino acid; and 'wobble' base-pairing, i.e. permitting non-standard base-pairing at the 3rd anti-codon position.
Source: RNAcentral